Molecule: ribosomal RNA, 427 nt
Filed under: uncultured bacterium
Lineage: Bacteria
Description: partial 16S ribosomal RNA
Rfam family: Bacterial small subunit ribosomal RNA
Source: RNAcentral
UGGGGAAUAUUGGACAAUGGGCGAAAGCCUGAUCCAGCCAUGCCGCGUGUGUGAAGAAGGUCUUCGGAUUGUAAAGCACUUUAAGUUGGGAGGAAGGGCAUUAACCUAAUACGUUAGUGUUUUGACGUUACCGCCAGAAUAAGCACCGGCUAACUCUGUGCCAGCAGCCGCGGUAAUACAGAGGGUGCAAGCGUUAAUCGGAAUUACUGGGCGUAAAGCGCGCGUAGGUGGUUUGUUAAGUUGGAUGUGACAGCCCCGGGCUCAACCUGGGAACUGCAUUCAAAACUGACUGACUAGAGUAUGGUAGAGGGUGGUGGAAUUUCCUGUGUAGCGGUGAAAUGCGUAGAUAUAGGAAGGAACACCAGUGGCGAAGGCGACCACCUGGACUAAUACUGACACUGAGGUGCGAAAGCGUGGGGAGCAAACA